Molecule: ribosomal RNA, 422 nt
Filed under: uncultured bacterium
Lineage: Bacteria
Description: bacterial SSU rRNA
Rfam family: Bacterial small subunit ribosomal RNA
Source: RNAcentral
UGGGGAAUAUUGGUCAAUGGGCGCAAGCCUGAACCAGCCAUCCCGCGUGAAGGAUGAAGGCCCUAUGGGUCGUAAACUUCUUUUAUACACCAAGAAAAAGCAGGACGUGUCCUGCCCCGACGGUAGUGUAUGAAUAAGCAUCGGCUAACUCCGUGCCAGCAGCCGCGGUAAUACGGAGGAUGCGAGCGUUAUCCGGAUUCAUUGGGUUUAAAGGGUGCGUAGGCGGCUUUUUAAGUCAGUGGUGAAAUCUUGCCGCUUAACGGUAAAAUUGCCAUUGAUACUGAUAAGCUUGAGUACAAUUGAGGUAAGCGGAAUGUGUAGUGUAGCGGUGAAAUGCUUAGAUAUUACACAGAACACCGAUGGCGAAGGCAGCCCCCUGGGCCAAUACUGACGCUCAUGCACGAAAGCGUGGGGAGCGAACA